Molecule: ribosomal RNA, 253 nt
Filed under: uncultured bacterium
Lineage: Bacteria
Description: partial 16S ribosomal RNA
Rfam family: Bacterial small subunit ribosomal RNA
Source: RNAcentral
UACGUAGGUGGCGAGCGUUGUCCGGAAUUACUGGGUGUAAAGCGCGUGUAGGCGGGAGGCCAAGUCUGUGGUGAAAUCGCUCGGCUUAACUGGGCGGGGUCCAUGGAAACUGGUCACCUGGAGGUCGGUAGAGGCAAGUGGAAUUCCCGGUGUAGUGGUGAAAUGCGCAGAUAUCGGGAGGAACACCGGUGGCGAAGGCGGUUCUCUGGGCCUGACCUGACGCUGAGGAGCGAAAGCGUGGGGAGCGAACAGG